This 361-nucleotide long non-coding RNA is filed under the name Nicotiana benthamiana. RNAcentral's name for it is "long non-coding RNA (NBEN_LNC020941)". The record is from RNAcentral. Lineage: Eukaryota; Viridiplantae; Streptophyta; Magnoliopsida; Solanales; Solanaceae.
UUAUAAUUCAUGACAACAUGGAGCUUAAACUCAUUACCAAGAGUUGACAGAUUCCGUCUUGAUCAAUCACUAAUUCUACAAGUAUUUAAUCGUACCCAGUAUCCUUUCAACUAUCGCCCUAGGGCCAUAGGUGUCUAGUAUCAAAGCACAAUAAAUAACUUGUCAAUUACCAUGACGAUCUCAAGUCAAAGGAAAUAGUUACAUCACAUUCUUCUAGAAAAUAUCCUAUUGACAGUUUAUGAUAAUUCUAACCACUAGGAAUUAUCCAAUGAGUCGGUUCAAUGAUCAUAUCUCCAUAUGCAUCAUCUAUCUAUGUGAUUUAGUUAAUGAGAUCAACUAAUCUUUAUCCGAUAAAGACGAU